This 217-nucleotide ribosomal RNA is filed under the name uncultured bacterium. Its description in RNAcentral is "partial 16S ribosomal RNA". It matches the Rfam family "Bacterial small subunit ribosomal RNA", at positions 1286 to 1500 of the family's 1533-position model. The record is from RNAcentral.
UCUCAGUUCGGAUUGCAGGCUGCAACUCGCCUGCAUGAAGUCGGAAUUGCUAGUAANCGCGGAUCAGCAUGCCGCGGUGAAUACGUUCCCGGGCCUUGUACACACCGCCCGUCACACCAUGAGAGCCGGUAACACCCGAAGUCAGUAGUCCAACCGCAAGGGGGGACGCUGCCGAAGGUGGGGGCUGGUGAUUGGGGUGAAGUCGUAACAAGGUAGC